UCGUGUUUGCUGCGGUGACACGGUGCCGCACUGAGUGAAGAUUGCGUUCAUAAUCACUUAUCGGGGGUGGAGUGGGGAAAGGAGAGUCAGGAAGAGAGGAUAUUUAUAUUAUUUGACAUAUUAUUUGAUAGCAUGUCAACUUUUGUGGGUGGGUGUUGGAUCAGUGACAGGUGGCGCUGGGGAGUUACCACGGCGAGCGGCUGGCUGGCUGCAGUGUUUUGGUCAGCACUGGUCAAUCUUGCCCUACACGCUCUAUUAACCAGUGUUUCCAUCUUCCCGACACCUUCUUCCUGCACCAAACACCGUCAAGCAUCACCAGAGAGGCACGAGUACGUAAGACUGAACGCCUUAUGCAGUUGACACUCUCUGAGAGACGCAAAAAAAUAAUCAAUGGGAACGAACAUUCUUGUAGCAGAAAUCCUGAACUUGUACCCGUGGAUUCAGACUUUUGAUGGCAUAAUCAAGGAGUUCCUGAAAUUAGAACCACAAGCGGAUGAACCAGACCCAAGGGUAGCAGUUUUGAAAGGGCUGGAGAAAUAUAGGCUCCCAAUAAUUGCCAUUCUCAAAAAAAGAAAAGCAGUUCCUCUGUAUAUGGAAACCUUACUUGAACUCUAUGACCACAAUGAAAGUGAGUAAUGUCUAGUUCAACUUGUUCAUUUCAGUAGCUGGUAGCAAUUUAAUAUAUGUAUCUUUUCAUCAUUAGCAAUGCAUCUUUCACUUUUAUAAGCCUAGUAUUCAUGAAACUAUGCUGCAUGCAAAAACCAAACAUUGUAUUAAGCAUGACCUAUCUAACUGUAAUGCUUGCACCAAUUUCUAUAAAGGUACUAAUUUAAUUGUUAAAUUCCUGCUCUUCUAUCAAAUUUUUGGCUGAGUGCUAUGGCUAAAUAAUUGUUUGCAGCAUAAGUGAUGUUAAAGAUUUUAAUAGGUGUAAAGCAUCUCUCUCUCUCUCUCUCUCUCUCUCUCUCUCUCUCUCUCUCUCUCUCUCUCUCUCUCUCUCGUAAGGAAAGACAUUAUUUCUAGUGUAAAUAAACCCAAUA
Scylla paramamosain (green mud crab) is the source of this 1037-nucleotide long non-coding RNA. RefSeq lists it as uncharacterized. The record is from RefSeq and is a predicted model, not a curated record. The transcript has 3 exons. Lineage: Eukaryota; Metazoa; Arthropoda; Malacostraca; Decapoda; Portunidae.